UGUUAAGACUACACAACGUGCAAUAAGACACCAAGCUUCAGUAAUCUCUGCCGGCCUCUUCUGUGAGAUCAAAGUAGUUCACGUUAGUGUGUGUUUGUUCACAAUAAUUAGUAUGUUUCCAUACAGACUUGGGCAAGUAUUCAGAGCAAGGAAUGCCGAGAAUUCUGCUACAGAGAGCUGAAGAAACAUUUCCUGCUGUGACAGAAAGGAUGGUGAGUGUUUUGUGCUUGUGUGCACAGACAAGAAUUUUAUCAUAAUCAGUCAAUUCUCAUAUCUUAGGAAACUAAACUUUUAUGCCAAGCUUGUGUUAGUGUUCAUGAUCCAUCUGGGGAGUUUACAUGGUUCUUCAUAUUGUAACACUUUGAAUUAUUAUGUGGGAGAGGGACCAAUUCAAGGAGAGUGAUAUGGGUAUGUAUGUAUGUAUGUAUUGGGUGGGCCAUAAAGACCGGCCCCCGCAAUGCGACCUUCAAAGAUAAUUGUGCUUCCCCUUGGAUUAGCCCUUUAUUAAUCCUAUACUUUUAAUAAAGUGUAGAACCCUGCUUAUGGGAGAGUCAUAAAAGUCACAAGUGA
This is a long non-coding RNA of Cryptotermes secundus, 570 nucleotides long. RefSeq lists it as uncharacterized. The transcript has 2 exons. NCBI's taxonomy places the organism in Eukaryota, Metazoa, Arthropoda, Insecta, Blattodea, Kalotermitidae. The record is from RefSeq and is a predicted model, not a curated record.